AACAACAAAAUCAGACAGUUAAAUGG
Molecule: non-coding RNA, 26 nt
Filed under: Trypanosoma brucei brucei
Lineage: Eukaryota; Euglenozoa; Kinetoplastea; Trypanosomatida; Trypanosomatidae
Source: RNAcentral